Molecule: ribosomal RNA, 206 nt
Filed under: uncultured bacterium
Lineage: Bacteria
Description: partial 16S ribosomal RNA
Rfam family: Bacterial small subunit ribosomal RNA
Source: RNAcentral
UACGUAGGGUGCGAGCGUUGUCCGGAAUUAUUGGGCGUAAAGAGCUUGUAGGCGGUUUGUCGCGUCUGCUGUGAAAUCUCAAGGCUCAACCUUGAGCUUGCAGUGGGUACGGGCAGACUAGAGUGUGGUAGGGGAGACUGGAAUUCCUGGUGUAGCGGUGAAAUGCGCAGAUAUCAGGAGGAACACCGGUGGCGAAGGCGGGUCUC